AUUCGGGCUUGUCUGAGGUUCACAGCACCAUUCACGUCCUCUUGCUGAAGGGUCCCAGGCAGACCACGGGGCCCCCGACACAGUCCAACUGCUCCCCACAGACUACCUUGGGUUCAGGCUCUACGCGUCAUGUUAACUCUGCAUCCACAGGCUCUAGUCCCUUAAAACAAGCCACAUGGAAUUUGCACAGGAUCCUGGAAGAGGAGUCGGGAUUCUUGGGCAACUAUCCAGGCCUGCGGCUUCCUGGUUGGAUGGCCUUGGGUGAGUCACUACUUCUCUGUGUCUCAGUAUUUUUAUCCAUGAAAUGACACUGCUGAUCACUGCCCUGCCUGCUUAGAGGGCUGGAAUGUGGGUUUUCAUUUCCCUACUAUGGCCAGCUCCGGCUGCUGAGGUCCCAGAAACAUGGCCAGGGCUCAGAACAUUCCUCAGCUCCCCUCCCUGGGAGGCCCUUGGAGGCCAGCAGCCAGGGCCUCAGGGACUUUUCUAGCGUGGCAAACCAAGCUGUAUUCUUUUGACCUCAAGUGUCCAUGCAAGAAACUCAAAAAGAGAAACCCCGCUUUUCUAGGGCUUCACUUAGAUCCAAACUUGGAGGAGGUGUGAGAUGGAGCUGUCCUCCUCCAGCCCUUCCCCCUCCUCCCUCUGGAGCCUCUCAGUGCCCUCGGGCCUCUGACCACCGACUUUCCUCAGAGCUCGCCUUCUGUUCCGGAGGAAACCUCCUCAGCCCCUUCCUCUUUCUCACUGUCCUGUGCCACCACCCCCAGGCCUGCCCCUCCAACCAUCAGCGCAUCUGUCCCUCAAAUCCCUGUACCCCUUCCUCCACAUUUCCAGGCCUCCAGCACCUGUGGUCGGACCUUAACCCUGCAGACCUUAAACCUUUACACUAUUGGGUCUGAAGACCAUCUGCAUCUAUUGUGGUUUUCUGAGUCUUAAUGAGAAGGAAUCGAUUCACCAACUGGAGGGGUUUUUGUAAAGCACAGCACCAAGGUGUCUGAAUACUUCAGGAAAUGCCCAUUGCCUUAGGAAUCCUUCCUCCUUAUUUUCAGGAAUUUCUUCUACCUGCGUCUGUCCCUGCCGGGUCACGCUCCUCACGGGACUUGUUGGGCUCUGGCUCCAGGCCUUCUAAGCCUGAACACUUGACUGUCUUCAGGAUCCCUGCUUCUGCGGCUCCCACAGGACAGUCUCUGGAUUCCCCUGGCAGGACUCCCUGUUCCCAGCCAGCCGUGGCUCCUUCGUCACUCAGUCACCAGCCACUGCCCCACCUUCCCUGCCCCUCUGCCCCCCAUUGCUCCAGCCCAGUUCAUUAUCUGGACCUUUUCUGCUUUUCACCCUCCACUGAUUUGCAGCAGGUUCCAAUUAAUAAUUUUAACGGUCACCAAUUUUCCCUGAGCCUCAGGCAAUAAUGGAGAUUUAGGUCUAAAUUAAAAUUUGCUAAUUUAGAAACAUUUGCCCACUAAUCGCUGCUGAAGCCCUACGACUUGGCAGGCUUGUAACUCACCGCUGUCCCUUUCCUGGUCUGAUCUCUCUGUCUCUGGAGGGGUUAACUCAGUGCUUCUCAAUCCAGUUGAUUUUGCCUCCAGGGGAUGUUAGACAAUGACUGGACACACUUUGGGUUGUUACUACUUGGGGAGGGGAAAUGCUACUGGCCUUAGUGGGUAGAGGCCUGGGAUACAGCUAAACAUCCCACAAUGCACAGGAAAAGUCCCCACAACAGAGAAUUCUCUGGCUCAAAAUGUCAAUUAUGCUGAGGCUGAGAAACCCGAAUAUAGAACGUUCCUGGGCUUCUCCCCCAGAAACCUUUCCUUGCACAGUCCUGCAUUCUCUAGAGCAGGACAAAGGUUUUGUUUCUUACUUACAAGUGCAAAAUUAUCUUCUUAGUUGUUCGAGAUCUGUUUUCUUUGUUUAUUUUAACGGAUCCAAUACUCAAACUCAGAAGAUUUUGCCAGGAAAUCUGUAUUCACAGCUUGUGCUGGAAGAUGGGGGAUCUUUUCACACUGGUCUCCAGUUCCCAGGUGGCAACAUCCAGUGGGAGGUAGCAGCUCCCCAUAGCCUUGUACAUGGGGCAUUACCUAUCUGGUCACCAGUCUCCGCCAUUCCCUGUUGCUGUUUGACCUUGAGUAUCAGUUGCCACUUAUUACCAUGCUUGCUCUGCUGUUUUCUCAUAGCAGAGAAACACAUGUGUUCCAAUCCUGAACCAAAAGUGCGAAAAUCGCAGGUAGACUGGGUUGUACCCACAUCCGUCUCUCAUUUUUGUCGUCUACUUUGUUUCUGGGCAUUUGACUGUGCACUUCUUGCUCCAGAUGGCUCCUGCUGAGCAUGGGAGUGACCCUUGACUCCUGUAGAGUCCCUCCCAGGCCCAGCCCUGCAGAUUCACAAGAGGCCAGCAGGGUGAGUGGAAGGUAAUUCUCGUGUUCCUUUUAAGCUUCCUGCUGGGAGGUGGGGCUCCUGUGGAUUGGGGUUCCCAGUGGCUCCACAUCAAACACUCCCCAUGGAGCUCUAGAGAGAGCUGCAGAGCAGGCCUCAGUCACUCAGCCCGAGGGAGCCCUAUCCCCACCCCAUUUCCUAACACAGCGUUGGUGAAUUGGUCCACGAGCUAAGGCAGGCUUGCUGCCUGCUUUGUCAAUAAAGUUUUAUUGGUGGAUAGUCAUUGCCAUUCACUCACCUAUUGUCUGUAGCUGCUUUCCUGCUACACUGGCAGAACUGAGUAGUUUUGCCAGAGACUGUAUGGCUCACAAAGCCUAACAUAAUUUACCACCUGUUUCUUCGCAGAAAAAGUUUGCAGACCCC
Molecule: long non-coding RNA, 2784 nt
Filed under: Lynx pardinus (Iberian lynx)
Lineage: Eukaryota; Metazoa; Chordata; Mammalia; Carnivora; Felidae
Source: RNAcentral